Molecule: ribosomal RNA, 152 nt
Filed under: uncultured bacterium
Lineage: Bacteria
Description: partial 16S ribosomal RNA
Rfam family: Bacterial small subunit ribosomal RNA
Source: RNAcentral
UCCUACGGGAGGCAGCAGUAGGGAAUAUUGGGCAAUGGGCGCAAGCCUGACCCAGCCAUGCCGCGUGCAGGAAGAAGGCGCUCCGCGUUGUAAACUGCUUUUGUCGGGGAAGAAACGACUCCUGCGGGAGGCAUUGACGGUACCCGAGAAUA